Molecule: ribosomal RNA, 135 nt
Organism: Ursus maritimus (polar bear)
Lineage: Eukaryota; Metazoa; Chordata; Mammalia; Carnivora; Ursidae
Source: Ensembl
GUCUACGGCCAUGCCACCCUGAACGCACCCGAUUUCGUCUGAUCUCGGAAGUUAAGCAGGGUUGGGCCUGGUUAGUACCUGGAUGGGACAGGGUUGACUACCUCGGGGGAGUGUGAAACAGGGAGGUAUUAGUGA